Molecule: long non-coding RNA, 6199 nt
Filed under: Equus caballus (horse)
Lineage: Eukaryota; Metazoa; Chordata; Mammalia; Perissodactyla; Equidae
Description: lncRNA (ENSECAG00000056400.1)
Source: RNAcentral
GGUUGUUGCCCUGAAGGUGAAACGUGGCAGUUAAAAAGGGGGGGGUGGGGCAAAAUUCCGCUCGCAGUCACUGCGAGUAACUCCUCCCAGAUGGAUGCUGUGCGGACGGCAAUUGUAAACUCUGGACAAAAGAGUCUUUCAAGCAGCAGAAGUUUAACAUUUUGAUGAAGUUCAAUAUGUCAAACUUUUCUCUUGUGGAUCAUGCAUUUUCUGUCUUAUCUAAGAAAUUUUUGCUUCACUCAAGAAUAAUUAUGUGGAGUACCAUCCAGGUCAAUCUCCAAUUACAACCCCAUUCUUCUCUCCAAGAGCACUGACCAUCUCGAUUUUGCAGUAAUGAUUCUCUUGCUCUCAUUUAAAGACUUACUAUUGUGCUGUAUCUGGACAUAUGGGAUGCUUCCAACAGCAUUACAAACAACGCUCCUCUGAACAAUCUUGACUGUAUCUCCUGCUGCAGGUCUUCAGCUUUAAUAAUGUCACACUGUUUUCCACGGUGCUUGCGCCCCUUCGUAUUCCCACCAGCAGUAAACGAGUGCCGAUAGCUCUACAUUUCAACCAACACGUGGAAUUACAAUGCGUUUUAAUUUCUGUUGCCAAUUUUGUGCAUGUAUGAUAGAGAUCUACUUUCCAUCGUGUGGGAUCCUGGAUUUUGUUUCAUGUCCAUGUUCAAUUGUAAAAAUUACACUAUAUGUUUUUAAAAAGCAAAUUUGUCUUUACAAGACCAUUUUAAAAUCUUUGCAUACAAAUAUGUUAGGUGCUUACAGAUUUUUUUCUUCUGAAAAAUUUCCUUAUAAAAAUAGAAUGUGCUAUUCAUCAGCAUGUCCUAUUUUUGGGGCAAAUAUGGAUGGAUGGCAGAGCUAGAAUUUUAACCUGUGUGUCUCUCUUACUCCAGGCUCUUUCUCUUGUCUUUAGGAGAGCAUGGUGGCAGGCAGCUGGUCUUUUCUUGUUUUAUUUUGAUAUAAUUUUAAGCAACUUGCUCUAGUGGGAGCUCCUGAUGGCUGCCCCCUAGUGGACUCCAGCGAGACUGCGCUCACCGGAUUGUAAGACGCUCCCCCUGCCUCACUCUGCUCAUUCCCGCUGAAGGGCAAGGCCUCUGCUCUGUGUUAGCACACUGCUUCCAGCAGAGUGUAAACAAAUCGAUAAUCCCGUGUGGCCACGGGGUAAAGAAGUGACAUUCUUACCCCUGCAGAAGGAGUACACUCUUGGGGACCGAGAUCAAGGUGGGCCUAUAGCGUCACCGCUUUGGUUUCAAAUUUGGUUGGGUAUCAGACUGAAGAGGAACAGCAGGCUUUAACUUAAUACGGUUUCUCAACCUCAGCACUAUUGACAUUUUGAGUUAGAUAACCUUUUGUUGUGGGGGUUGUCCUGUGCAUCGUACGAUGUUUAACAGCAUCCUUGGCCUCCACUCACUAGAUGCCAAUAGCAUCCUUCCUCUAGUUGUGACAGCCCAAAAUGUCUCCAGACAUUGCCAAAUGUCCCUUGGUGGACAAAAUAGGCCCAAUUGAGAAACACUCUUAUAGGGGGAUAGAAAGCAGGAGAUUCAGCUCGCACAGUUCUCCAUCCCGUCAGGAGGGCCAGCAGUACCAGGUACCGCACAGCGUCUGUUGCCCCCUCACCACACAGCGCGUGAGCUGCCCUGACCAGAGCCAAGGUGUGCGUGAGUCACCUUCAUACGGAGAAGCCUUGGCCUUGAUUUAGCACCAAUCUUUUAUGUCAUAUUAGUCACAUGGGCCUGAGACGAGCAUGCAGAUUCAGAGAGCCUCCGAUACAGGUGCAUUUCCACAGGGCAGAAGAAACUGUCACAACACUCCACGCUUCUCCUGCACUGGCAGAACUCAGAGACCUGAGGUCGCUGCCAGGUAGGCCUGCCCCAGCCCAGGCCUGAAACAAAUUAACCCUUUCCUCACACUGCCACAAAACCCCACCAAGCACGGUAGAGUUGGUUUGUUAAGUGCUUCCCCACCUUGCAGAGAUGCUGUCUCGCCACCACCCCACCAAAAAAAGACCAAACCUCAGGCUUCUGUGUUACCAGGACCUGCAUAACCUUGGCAGCCUCCAUCUAAGUCUACUUUCAGCUCCUCCAAUCCCUACAUCCCGAUGAACUUCGUGGGGCCAUCCAAAAUCUAGGCUUCUGGAGUGGCUUGCGGUGGCUUACUUUGCUCGUCCAUUUAAACUCCUUUAUAUCACGUACAUUGGCUGAGUUAAGGUACAUUGCCUAUAUCUGGAAACAUUUGUCAGCCUGUAGAGACAUCUUGAAACGUUCCCUUGAAAGAAAAGUUUGGGGAAAUUCACAGGCCAUGAUUCCACGCCGGUGGGACACCACGAUGCUUUCAAACUCUGGUGGCUUCUUACAUGGCAAAGUAGUCUAGGGAACAUUGGCAGCUGUUGGAAAUGUGCUGGGGGCCAAGGAAAAUCAAAGAGUUGCCCCUCCUUCUUGUUAAAUGCCUCAGACCCUCAGAGAUCCUUACUUUACUCCUCUCCCAGGGCCAUAGAGGAAUUCAGGGGAAACAAUCUUUUACCCCCAGUUUAGGUUGCUGGAAGGAUAACUUGUAAACUUGGAUUUACUGAUGGCCAUUGGGGAGACCCAGCUUGGAACGGAGUUUGUCCAGUGGAGUUCCCCUAGAAGCAGAUCCUGCGACAAGGAUAUUAGCCCUGAGCUAACUACUGCCAAUCCUCCUCUCCCUGCUGAGGAAGACCGGCCCCAAGCCAACAUCCUCCGUGCCCAUCUUCCUCCACUCCAUACAUGGGAUGCCCACCACAGCAUGACACCAAGCGGUGCCAUGUCUGCACCCGGGAUCCAAACUGGUGAACCCCAGGCCGCCGAGAAGCGGAACGUGAGAAUGCAACCGCUGCGCCACUGGGCCGGCCCCUCACUUCUCUUGAAUCGAUGGAACCUGAGUUCGAGCCCUGGUCAACUCUGCCAUUUCCUGUCCAGACUGAUCCCUGGGACCAAGUAUUGGAGAAAAAGGCAAGUCUGCAGUUUACUAAAGCUGUGGACAUCACUUAACAGUUCCGAGGCAGCAGUUCUGAUCAGCAGGAUGGCUCUAAUCUGCAUGAUUUUCCUGGGACCCAAGUUCCUUCCAUCAUGAUGCUUUGCCAUGUUAGGCCACUAACCCUGUAUGCACAGUCAAGGAUUCCAGCCAGUGAGAAAGGGAAAGGACACAGAGGAGCCACGCCCAGGCUCAAGGUCUGGGCACAGAUCACUUCCACUUGAGUCCAUUGGCAAGAACUGAAAUGUCAUAACACCUAACCGCAAGGGAGGCAGGGGACGUGUAGCUCAGCCACGCACCCGGAAAGAAGGAGAGAACGGGUCUGCAGGAGAGCUCAUGGCGUCCAGGGACCCUCCAAGCAAGAGGCAAACCCACCUGGGCAUCUGUCUGCGCACAGUGAGGAAGAUUAGCCCUGAGCUAACUGCUGCCAAUCCUCCUCUUUUUGCUGAGGAAGACUGGCCCUGAGCUAAAACAUCCAUGCCCAUAGUCCUCUACUUUAUAUGUGGGACGCCUGCCACAGCAUGGCAUGCCAAAUGCUGCCAUGUCCGCAUCUGGGAUCUAAACCAGCGAACCCUGGGCCGCCAAAGUGGAACGUGUGCACUUAACCGCUGUGCCACCGGGCCGGCCCCAGGAAAAGCUAUUUUUAUUGAGGUCACUUUCCUGUUCAUGAUGUUUCUUCUCCAUGCUUGCCCCUUCGUGUUUCUGUGAGAACAAUGAGGAAGGGAGUAUCAGCUGGCUGCCAACUAAAUAUGCCUGGGCUAGACUGUUGGAUGAUGAGAGACGCAUGGACCCACCAUCUCCCCAGAUGCCAGCCAGCCAGCUCCCAAAGUAGAGCCCCCUGCUGCCUUGGCAGCUGACUGUGGACGCAUGAGCAAGCCCAGCCAGGACCAGCAGAAUUGCUCAGCUGAUCCCAGUCUAAAUUGCUACCUUAUGGAUUGUGAGCUACAAAUAAACGGUGGUUGUUUUAAGCCGUUAAGUUUUGGGGUAGUUUGUUUCACAACAAAAGCGGAGCGUUACGGGAAGUAACCCAGAGAUUAGCAACAGCAGGGAGUCACUGCUAUGUUAGGCUGUAGAGACAAAGGGAGGAGGCAAUAUAGCCAGGGCCCAGAGCUCCCAAAAGAUGAGGAACGAGGCGUAGACAUAUCCCAUGGAGGCUCAGAGGAACAGAGUAGCUGGAGGAGAGGCAGCUGACUGCAGCAGACAGGGGGAAGAAAUACCCUGGCUUUUCGCUUUAUCUGCCCUCCAGUCUCCCACCAGGGCCUGCCAUCAGCUGAGCUCAGCUGGCAGCCAGUUGGGACGAGAGCCUGGAGAUGCAGACUUCAGGAGUCAGCCUUUCUGCAACAGAGAGCAGAGCCGGGGAAGGGCUGGGAAUGGAUCUGAGGGCAAACAGGCCCAGGACUGACACUACACAUCCUUUAGGGGAAAGAAAAGGAAGUGAGUUCACUGAUUGAACUUUCAAAACAGCGCAAUUGCAUUCUCUUCUUUGUGUUUUAUUCCCUGCUCAGGAAUUUAGCUCAAAAUAAAAAUGAAUUCUAGCAACUGGAGAACUGUGAUUGCAAGUGUCUCAACUUUUUACAAAAUAUUCAACCAAGCUGAAUUAGCCUAUUUAUAAAAUGUUGCACCCACAAUGCCCCAUCAAAACGCAAAUCAUCAAAACAGCCUGAAUGACGCUGGAGUUAGGUCAAAAAACACAGAAGUUUUAAAACACCAAUUUGGUUAAUUUUAAUUCAUUCAGCAACCAUUAAAAACUUUUUGUAUGCCGAUCAAGUACAAUGAAGGGUGAUGCCACAGAUUUGCACACACAUCUACACACAGAUAAUUGGAAUAUAGUACAGAUGUUGUCAUUGAGGUAUGAAGGUGGGGGUCAUUUAAGCUGGGUUUUGAAGAAUAAGUUAGAGUUCACCAGAUGGAAAAGAGAAAGAACAGUUUUUCAGGAGGAGUGUGCAAAGGUUCAGAGACAAGAUGUCAUAUUUAAGAAACUAUAAGUACUGUAGCUUGGUGUGGCUGGAACACUGAGUGUGGGAGGAAUAUGGAGAGAGAUGAGGCCAUAGAUGUGGCAGGGGCUAGACCAUAGAGGCCUUAAAUGUUGUGCUGAGGAGUUUGCCCUUUAUAGGCAAUUGGGAGACAUCAGUAUUUUUAUUUUAGUAGAUUUUUGAGAAUUAAAAAUAAUACAUGGGCACAUGUACGGUGACGGAUGGUAAUUAGUCUUUGGGUGGUAAGCAUGAUGUAAUCUACACAGAAAUCGAAAUAUAACGACGUACACCUGAAACUUAUGCAGUAUUAUAAGCCAAUGUUACCUCAAUUAAAAAAAAAUACAUGUUUAUUUUAAGGAGCUGAAAGAUGACAUAAAAGGUGAAAAGAGGUCAUGAUCUCUGCCCUCUUUUAUCCUUGAGGUAGCCAGGGCUAGUAAUCAGGACACAGCUUUCUCUUCUCCAGGGUUGGUUGGUUUUCUUAUUUGCUGUGGCUUGGAGUGCAAAAAAUACACUUAUUACUCUGCAACUUGCUUUUUUCCCUUAACAACAUGUGGACAUCACUCCAGAUGAGUUAGAUUUAACUCAAAUAUUUCUUCAGCCAUUCUCUUACUGGUGGGCAUUCAACUUGUCUGUUUUUAGCAGUUACAAUAAUAUUGUGGUAUGCCUCCUUGACGAUGAGUCUGGGGAUAUUGGGCUCUCGUUUCAGUAAAAUAGAUUCUGGGUCAAUGGAUGUUUGCAUUUUUUAUUUUAAUGGAUGUGUCUCAAUUACUUUUUUAAUAGGUUGCAGCUAUUCCUAUUUCUCAACACUGUCAAACAGAACUGGACAUUAACACUUUUUCACUUCUAAAUUUAGGCAAAUGUAAUGAAUGAAAGAAAGGCUGUAUUGGUUUAAUUUGCAUUUCCUUGACUUCUACUGACACUGAGCAUCUGAUCAUGCUUAUUGACAAUUUGCAUGUUCCCUUAUGUGAAUUGCCAGCUCAUUUUUCUAUUCAGUUGUCUUUUUCUUAUCAACUGGUAAAAGUUCUUUGAAUAUUAGUAAUUGUUAAUUUUUAUCCAUGUGUUUUGCAAAGGUUCUCAUUCCACCUCAGAUUAUCAGUUGCCUUUUUUUUUUUAAAAGUCUUUUUAUUUGGAAAUGAUUAGAAACUAACAGGGUGUUGUGAAAAUGCUAGAGUCCCAUGUACCUUCAGCCAGCUUCUCCCAAAGGUAGCAUCUUACAUAACUAUAGUGCAAUAUCAAAAC